This 79-nucleotide transfer RNA is filed under the name Schizophyllum amplum. RNAcentral's name for it is "Auriculariopsis ampla tRNA". It matches the Rfam family "tRNA". From Rfam's summary of the family: Transfer RNA (tRNA) molecules are approximately 80 nucleotides in length. Their secondary structure includes four short double-helical elements and three loops (D, anti-codon, and T loops). RNAcentral also lists the same sequence under 1 other name. Lineage: Eukaryota; Fungi; Basidiomycota; Agaricomycetes; Agaricales; Schizophyllaceae. The record is from Rfam by way of RNAcentral.
GGCCGCCUGGCGUAAUGGCAACGCGUCUGACUACGACUGGGUAAUCAGGAGAUUGCAGGUUCGACCCCUGCGGUGGUCA